RNAcentral lists this long non-coding RNA (2034 nucleotides) under Mus musculus (house mouse). Its description in RNAcentral is "predicted gene 6878 (Gm6878)". The record is from RNAcentral. Lineage: Eukaryota; Metazoa; Chordata; Mammalia; Rodentia; Muridae.
GAUCAGACUUCAUCAGCUUUCAGCACAGAUACCAGAUACCAGAAAUGGCACCAACCUCAACUGAAGCUUGAGGUUCCAAGUAAAGACACAGGACAACUGCUAUAAAGGCCACCAGUGGACACUAGUGCCACUGCUGUAGGAGACUCCACCCCACCUACAAACUCAUCUGAGGACCCCAGAGUCUACUUUUGUACAGGCUGUGCCUCUCCCCGAAGAAGUCCUAUGAACAAGAUAUAUAGUCACCUGGGGCAUCAAUCUGUGAUCACUUCCAAGGGGGCAUAAGCAAGACUUCUUGACAUUUGGCUGAGCACGGCAUCCCUGAAGCAAGUCGGAUGGGUGAUGGAAACUCUUCCUCCACAAGCCAGUCAGUCAACAUGCUGGAGUGGACAAGAGGAGAAGACCAGGGGAGAUCCUAUACAGGCAGCAAGCCCUGGGACCUUCCUGCCACAGCUGCCAGUCUCCAGGAAGAACUUCUCUUUGGAGACAAGCAGAGCAGAAAACAUGGUGCAGUCACAAUGCGUUUGCUCAGCCAGAACAUCUCCAGGGUGUGGCAAGUUCGUGUACCUUCUCUGAUCAAGAACUUUUCUUGCCCACAAGUCUCUUUUGAGGACAACCACAAAGCCCAAACAGCACACCAACUGGAGAGACUGCACAGUGAAAUGGUUCUGCUCUGAAUCCCUCCUGCAGCACUGCACACACAGGUAGAGAAAAUGCAAUGAGCCUGCACGUAGCCCUCAGAAGCCUGGGAGAGCAUGGGAGCUCUGAGCAGAGCUGGAGAUCACAUCUUCUGCUCAAGGCUGGGAGCCGGGGCUACAGGGGGAAAAAUAAAAGCAGCACCACAGGCUUCAACUUUGCAUUGCAGUUUGCCUUGGCUUCCCUUUGCGUGAGAUGUAGCUGAUGAAGAAUUAGAGGCCUCAGGAAAACAUGCCACGAACACAUAAUGCCUGUGGCAAGCAGUGUCUGACCCAUUCUCUCUGCAGAAAGUCAGAUGCAAAUUAUCCUGAUUAAAUAAUAUGACAGGGUUAAAUAGACACCUACACACUUGUAAGUUGAGUUAUACCUGCACUCUAGGUCGUUAGUAUGCAGCUGCUACACACGGACUAUCAAAUGAAUACUUAAAUAGGAAAACUCUUUAUUUUGCAACUUGCAAAUGUUUGCUGUAGGGAAUUUUUUUUAGAUAUAUAUUUAAUUAUGUGUAUGAUGUGUGUCUGUGUGUAGGUGUACGCACGGAAGUGCAGGCUCACACAGAAACCAUAGGUGUUAUUCCUCCCAGACCUAGAGUUACAGGCAGUUAGUUAUGAGUCUCCUGUCAUGAGUGCUGGGAACCAAACUUGGGUUCCCUUGCAAGAACAUUACACAGAAGCUCUAAGUUGCUGAGCCAUCUUUCCAGCCCAUAAGUGUCCUUAUGAUGUGAGAGUCUAAGAGCUUCUCUUUCCCGCCUAAGCCGAAACUGCGAGGUUAGGUCAAAUGCCGUGUUUAGUUUCCCAAGCAACACUGAAAUCAAACAAAAGUCUUCAUAUCUACGGAAACUGGAUAGAGGUAUCCUGAGCUGUCAAAACUGGCAUUAUGUGUGAACUUACUGAGUACACCCAUUAAAAAUUAGGACCGAAUCUGAAAUUCUACUUAAGCAAAGCUGGAGACUCAUAAUUUGAGCUCUGACUCUGUACAGCUGCCAAAGGAAAGUUAAUUUUUUUUUAUCUAAGGGGUGAACAGCUGCAGUCAAAAUUACCCUGUCAUAUCCAUCUUUAUAAGCGUCUCCCAGAGAAUCCAGAGGAACAGCGAACACUUCCGACAGGAUCCCUGUUUUAGUGUGAUUCGGAGAGAUGAUCAUGGUCUCAGUUUCGGGGUCUCCUUCAACAUAAAUAUUAAUGAAUCCAACCACAUAAAGACUCUUCCUCUGAUGAAAAUUAAAAAUUCAGCUCUUGCAUCAUAGCUUUUCAUGAAGAAGAAUUAAGACGCCUUCAUUAGUUUUAAAGGAUGUGGUUAAAAUUAAUAAAUCAUUAUCGAAUCUAAAUCUCAAAAAACCACUUGUAA